Molecule: unclassified non-coding RNA, 266 nt
Filed under: Glomeraceae sp.
Lineage: Eukaryota; Fungi; Glomeromycota; Glomeromycetes; Glomerales; Glomeraceae
Description: partial contains 5.8S ribosomal RNA and internal transcribed spacer 2
Rfam family: 5.8S ribosomal RNA (bases 1-65)
Source: RNAcentral
GUGAAUCAUCGAAUUUUUGAACGCAAAUUGCACUCUCUUCGGAGAGUAUGCCUGUUUGAGGGUCAGUAAUAAUAAAAUCGGGUUGUUGCUUUCUUUUUGCCGCACCGGAGAUUGGGCUCCCUUUGACUUUCGGGUUUAAGAGCCUUAAAAUUGAACUUUUUGCCGCACUUUUAGACGUACAUAAUUUUUUUUUUAUCGUCUAUUCUGGUCCCAAUUAUCUAUUGGGUGCGAUCAUUUUUAUAUGUUCUCGUGCCCAUAUUCCUCAC